ACGAACGCUGGCGGCGUGCCUAAUACAUGCAAGUCGAGCGGAAUGAUGAAGAAGCUUGCUUCUUCUGAUUUUAGCGGCGGACGGGUGAGUAACACGUGGGCAACCUGCCUUGUAGAUUGGGAUAACUACCGGGAAACCGGGCUAAUACCGAAUAAUCCAUUUUGCUUCAUGGCGAGAUGUUGAAAGACGGUUUCGGCUGUCACUAUAAGAUGGGCCCGCGGCGCAUUAGCUAGUUGGUAGGGUAAUGGCCUACCAAGGCGACGAUGCGUAGCCGACCUGAGAGGGUGAUCGGCCACACUGGGACUGAGACACGGCCCAGACUCCUACGGGAGGCAGCAGUAGGGAAUCUUCCACAAUGGACGAAAGUCUGAUGGAGCAACGCCGCGUGAGUGAAGAAGGUUUUCGGAUCGUAAAACUCUGUUGUAAGGGAAGAACACGUACGAGAGUAACUGCUCGUACCUUGACGGUACCUUAUUAGAAAGCCACGGCUAACUACGUG
Molecule: ribosomal RNA, 499 nt
Filed under: uncultured bacterium
Lineage: Bacteria
Description: bacterial SSU rRNA
Rfam family: Bacterial small subunit ribosomal RNA
Source: RNAcentral